RNAcentral lists this transfer RNA (76 nucleotides) under Bacillota bacterium. RNAcentral describes it as "Firmicutes bacterium (anaerobic digester metagenome) tRNA-Ala". It matches the Rfam family "tRNA". Rfam says of the family: Transfer RNA (tRNA) molecules are approximately 80 nucleotides in length. The record is from RNAcentral. Lineage: Bacteria; Bacillati; Bacillota.
GGGGCUGUAGCUCAGCUGGGAGAGCGCCUGACUGGCAGUCAGGAGGUCAGGGGUUCAAGUCCCCUUAGCUCCACCA